GGCCUCGUAGCUCAGCUGGUAGAGCAUGCGCGUACAAAGCAUAGGUGGUGUUCAUGCGUGGGUUCGAAUCCCAACCAAGGCUA
RNAcentral lists this transfer RNA (83 nucleotides) under Echinostoma caproni. It matches the Rfam family "tRNA". Rfam says of the family: Transfer RNA (tRNA) molecules are approximately 80 nucleotides in length. Their secondary structure includes four short double-helical elements and three loops (D, anti-codon, and T loops). The record is from Rfam by way of RNAcentral. Lineage: Eukaryota; Metazoa; Platyhelminthes; Trematoda; Plagiorchiida; Echinostomatidae.